UACGUAGGUGGCAAGCGUUGUCCGGAUUUACUGGGCGUAAAGAGCGCGCAGGCGGUCGUUCAAGUCGCGUGUGAAAGCCCCCGGCUCAACUGGGGAGGGUCACGCGAUACUGAUCGACUCGAAGGCAGGAGAGGGUAGUGGAAUUCCCGGUGUAGUGGUGAAAUGCGUAGAUAUCGGGAGGAACACCAGUGGCGAAGGCGACUACCUGGCCUGUUAUUGACGCUGAGGCGCGAAAGCGUGGGUAGCAAACAGG
RNAcentral lists this ribosomal RNA (253 nucleotides) under uncultured bacterium. RNAcentral describes it as "partial 16S ribosomal RNA". It matches the Rfam family "Bacterial small subunit ribosomal RNA", at positions 524 to 776 of the family's 1533-position model. The record is from RNAcentral.